GGUAAAAUGGGGGGCAUCUGAUGCAGCCACGCCGCGUGAGUGAGAAGCCUUCGGGUUGUAAAGCUCUUUUUACCGGGAGGAAAAAAAGGGGGUUUUUACCCUUCUGACUGGACCCUACCAAUACAAAACGCCCAACUCUAAAACAUCCGCCCCGCCACUAUAAUAAGCAGCUGUGCGUUCGGAAAUUGCGGGGAAACUCCUAAAGCCGAUUCUACCGCGGUCAUUGGGAAAGGGGGGGGGGGGCAGAUGAGGUGAUGGUCAUCGGAGGGUAAGAGCGAAGAGGAGGAGAUGCCUACGUGAUGAUGGUGGAGAUGCG
This 316-nucleotide ribosomal RNA is filed under the name uncultured Nitrosomonas sp. Its description in RNAcentral is "partial 16S ribosomal RNA". Lineage: Bacteria; Pseudomonadati; Pseudomonadota; Betaproteobacteria; Nitrosomonadales; Nitrosomonadaceae. The record is from RNAcentral.